AGAGUUUGAUCAUGGCUCAGAACGAACGCUGGCGGCGUGGAUUAGGCAUGCAAGUCGAACGCGAAAGAGGGGGCAACCCCUCAAGUAGAGUGGCGAACGGGUGAGUAACGCGUGAAGAACCUGCCUUCAACAGGGGGAUAACACUCCCAACGGGGUGCUAAUACCGCAUGAGACCACGGAGCUGCAUGGCUCUGAGGUCAAAGGUGGCCUCUAUUUAUAAGCUACCGGUUGAAGAUGGCUUCGCGUCCCAUUAGCUAGUUGGCGGUGUAAAAGACCACCAAGGCGACGAUGGGUAGCUGGUCUGAGAGGAUGGUCAGCCACACUGGGACUGAGAUACGGCCCAGACUCCUACGGGAGGCAGCAGUCGAGAGGCUUUGGCAAUGGGGGAAACCCUGACCAAGCGACGCCGCGUGGAGGAUGAAGGCCUUUGGGUUGUAAACUCCUUUUGUUGGGGAAGAAGUGCGAUCAGGUGAACAAUCUGGUCGUUUGACGGUACCCGACGAAUAAGCUCCGGCUAACUCCGUGCCAGCAGCCGCGGUAACACGGGGGGAGCAAGCGUUGUUCGGAAUCACUGGGCGUAAAGGGCGUGUAGGCGGUUAGGUAAGUGGGACGUGAAAUGCCCCGGCUCACCCGGGGACCUGCAUCCCAAACUGCCCGACUUGAGUAUGGGAGAGGAUGAGGGAAUUCCUGGUGUAGCGGUGAAAUGCGUAGAUAUCAGGAGGAACACCGGUGGCGAAGGCGCUCAUCUGGCCCAAUACUGACGCUGAGGCGCGAAAGCUAGGGGAGCAAACGGGAUUAGAUACCCCAGUAGUCC
RNAcentral lists this ribosomal RNA (814 nucleotides) under uncultured bacterium. Its description in RNAcentral is "bacterial SSU rRNA". It matches the Rfam family "Bacterial small subunit ribosomal RNA", at positions 8 to 796 of the family's 1533-position model. The record is from RNAcentral.